CAUCGGCACUGGGUUAGCUUUAGUAGCUUGCCAAGAGCUCAAGACACCCGUGACAGCAGGCUGUCUCUCGGCCGAGUGGCUAACACCAGAGAAGUGGAACUAUUCUCGAACCUGUGAAUCAUGGCUCAGGCAGAGGAUAUCUUUCUCAGGGCUAAACAUCGAACGUUUCGUGGACUUACUGAAGAUAUCGAGCAUGAGUGGACGGGUUCCUUCUUCUUCAUUCAGGCUGCAGACCCCCAGCUUGGCCUGAUGAAGGCCUGGAGGGAGGGUGACUGCCAUGGCGGGGGAGAUGAAUGGCGAGAGGAAGUUGAGCUCACCAAACAAGCGGUGGAGGCCAUGAACCAGCUCCGACCUCCCCCGAGGUUUAUGGUGCUGUGUGGUGACCUGGUGCAUGCCAUGCCAGGCACCCCUUUUAGAAAUGAACAGGAGCGAGACCUAAAGAAUGCAUUGAGGGGAGCAGACCCUUCCAUUCCACUAGUGUUUGUCAGUGGCAAUCAUGACCUUGGAAACACCCCUACCCCAAGAACAGUGGAGCAGUACUGCACUGAAUGGGGAGAUGACUAUUUCAGCUUUUGGGUGGGUGGAGUCCUCUUCCUGGUUCUAAACUCUCAAUUGUUCUAUGAUGCUUCGGCCUGCCCUCAGUUGAAGGAGGCCCAGGAAACGUGGCUCGAAGAGCAGCUGAGCAAAGUCUCAUAUUCCUCUUGUACGGCACCGAAACACAUCAUUGUGUUUCAGCACAUUCCUCUGUAUCUAAAGAACCAUGAUGAGGAAGAUGACUACUUCAACUUGCAGAGGGAAGUCAGACAAAAACUGAUUGACCGAUUUAAGAGCGCUGGGGUAAAGGCGGUCUUCUCUGGCCACUAUCACCGAAAUGCGGGCGGCUACCACGACGGCCUCGACAUGGUCGUGAGCUCGGCCAUCGGCUGCCAGCUGGGUGAGGACACCCACGGCGUCAGGGUGGUGGUCGUGACGGCUGAUCAGGUGAUCCAUCGUUACCACAGCUUGGAGCAGAUGCAAAGACGAGGGAUGGACGAGGACCUCAGGAAGCUCCUGCAAGCCUGAUAGUCAAUGAAGUCUUUUUUUUAAGUUUUUUUUAUAAAGAAUGUGAACUUUUCAAAAUAUUUUGGGGUCUCUUAAAACCUUGCCAGAUUAAAAACACAUUUACAUUAUAUGACAGUGGAACCUCUCAGGUCAAACACAAUCUAUUCCACGAUGCUUGUUCAGAUUUUUAUUGUUUGUUUCAGUUCUAUUUGUCUCAUAGAAAAUGGGAGUACAAAUAUUCAGUUAUUGGGUCAAACUGUACCCAUCAUAAAACCUAUGAACUGAAAAUGCAAAGUUAUAAUAAUAUAACAAUAAUAUAAUAAAGCUAGAUUACCGUAAAUUCCCUAUAAGCCGCACGUAGCAAAUGGGAAAACAGAAAAAAAAAGUUCAUAUAUAUAUAGGCCGCACUUAUAAGCCGCAGGUGUCCGCAUUGUGACAUGGGAUAUUUACACAGUAAGACACACUAUAAACCUUGCAAAUCUACCUACACUUGGUGGUCCUAGUGUCACUCAUUAGCUCCAGUGAGAUGUGACACGCUUUUUUUCCAGAGUUCAACAGCUGCCGUGGGCCAAUCAGAGGCUGUAGUAAUUCUACUCUUGAUCAAACUUCAAAACACGAUUGCUGAAUAGGACUUCAAAACAUGUGAUAGAGCUUCUAUUGUGGAAAUGCUACUUUUUGUUUCGGCACUCAAAGCAUCAUGGGAACUGUAGUUCUUUUAGCCAUAAAUUAGCCGCAUCAUGGUUUGAGCCUCAGAGUUGAAGCAUGUGAAAAAAGUAGCAUCUUGUAGUCCAGAAAUUAAGAUAGAUUAAAGUACUCACGCUUUGAUGACGUAGCAAAGUGCAGUUUCCUUUAAGUCAUACACGUACAACCUUCUGUGGUGAAAUCACAAAAAACACAAAAAAACACUUAUGGAGCUCAGCCUUCAUAUGCUUACUGAGCUGAAGUCUCACAGAAUUUGAUGAAAUCUCACACGAUACACUGAUAACUUGGGUGAUGUCACCAAUCAUGUUUUUUUUUUCCAUAUUGUAAGUAUGAACUUUGGUCUUUCGGAUUGUUUGAAUUUUGAGGGUCCACUGUACUGUGCUAAGAAUUAUUUUUGGAAGAAGUAGUACUCAUCCAUCAUGUUAUCGCAGCAUUGCGACGAGAACAAAUGUAUCUUUCACAGUUCCAAGUGUGUUCGCUUGUCAUAUCCGUUACUGCUAUUUGCUUUUGUCACAGUCAUAUUUGUGGUCCAUGAAGUCAUCCUAUGCAAAAUACAGGUGCUUUUUAUGUCAUGAUGUUUUAGUGCAGCUACACAUUUUACACUUUGGCAGCCCUGUAAGCAAUGGUGUUGAUGUCUGUCUCCCCCUAGUGGAAUUCACGGGAAAACACUGUAGCUACAUGGAUGCACUUGCAACUCUUCUUUCUCCUUUGCUGUGUGACAACGGCAUUAUGCACAAUUGUUUUGAUGCGAGUGAAAAAUGUGGAUGUAGCUUUGUAAUAUUGGUUAAUAAGUCCAGGGCCGCCCCACCAUCCAUGAUUAAAAUAUUAGCAUUCAACAUUUCAUCACAGCCACACCCGACCAUGAUAAAUAAAUUUCCACGAUAUAGGGUUCAUUGUUAAUAAAUGGAAUAUUUUCAUAGUUAGAGCUCAGAAAACCUGUUUAGGACUUUCUAAUGACUGGUUUUCAACAUUAUUAGAGCCCUGUAGACAUGAAAUAACACCCCAAUAGUCACCUUUACACUCCUGUUAUUCUCUGUUUACAACACAUUGCUCAACUCUUAUGCUGCAGGGAUUUGAGACGGCUGCUAGCUAGCAAGCUAGUGAGCUAGCAUGCUAACCAGUUAGCCCCGAUGUAUUUCUUGUAAAGACAAAAACUUACCACUUCCACACGGAAUGGGAGGAUAACUUUUUUUCACUCUAUCAUGUCGGACAUGCCAUGGCUGACUUCAUACAGUGUUAAGGUAAUGUCUCAAUGUUUUGUGUCUUUACUACCGCCCAGUGACCAGAAUACUACAUAUCACUUGUAUCUUGAUGUUUUAACUAAUAAUAGACCAUACUCUACCACAAAACAGCGGUCAUUUAAUUUCUGGAAAAACGCAAUAUAGUGAGGGAGCGAUAAUCGAACCCCGAUAUUGCGAAGGAUGACUUUAGUGCGACUGCUUGACUCAGCAUUCAUACCAUAAGCAAAAGCAGCAGCAGGAAAUGUACACCAGCUUUAGUGUGCUCAUUUUUAAUACCUUUGCAUGAAUUAAAGCACACUAAUAUAAAAUGUCUCAUUUAAAUCAAAUGACUAUUAAGGAUUAUAAUUGUGUUUCAAUACUCAAUAAUCUUUCACAUGUAGGUCCUACCACAAAAAUGCAUGAGUACGGAAUCCAUUAGAGGAUUACAUUAUUUUUACAUUUAGGAUUUGAGAGUCAUAUAUAGUAUGGUUGUCGCCUCUGAUUGGAUUUGUGGUGUUUAUCUUGCAAGGCUUCAAAUCUCUUCUCUCCACUUUGCAGAAUAACAUUAAGUGUGAUCAUGUUAUUAAACGCUUAAUGAAAUAGCUGAUUUCAGGCUCUAAACACAUUUGGUAGUUGUGUGUAAUUUAUGUCAUUUAGAGCAGUAUCAAACCAAAGUCACUCUUUCCCAGCCUGAAUACGCUGAACGUGUACAAAUGUCGCUUUCUUUGAGAGUCCCAAAGGUCUCAAUUCAAUUACGCACACACAGAGACUCUCACAAUCACCCAGACGUACUUGGAAAUAGUUGUCAUGGCAACCCUUUAGCAACACAUCUGUGUGUCUUGGCAAGACUGCCAGAGAGCGUGUACUGUACAUGCGUGUGUGUUCGUGUCCAUCCGUAGUCCGCUUAGUGUCACAAACGAUUUCCCAUUAGCAUCACUAUCACUGACCUCAUUUUACACACACACUUUGUCACAUCCCUUCCCAAAACAAAAGGCAGUAGGUGAUGGAGGGAGAAGGUUUGGUGUAUUUGAGAAGAAUGGCUAAUGAGCGUAAUGUGUGGAAAACCGUCACUUUCACUUCCUGCCUGAGAAAACCUUACAUCGUCAUGCAUGUUUGUAUUGAUAUCAUAUCCAAGCUCAAAUCACUUGAUGUGACCGACCAGGUUAACCUGUGUAAUAGGUGUCAAAUUGGAUUAAAUGGUCCUAUAGAACAGUGGUCCCCAACCCCCGGGCCGCAGCCAUUUAGAUUAUUUCAUUUUUGGUGUUUUAUUUUGAAAAGUGGCCGGAUUCUCUGUUAUAUCCGUCUCACUUGACGCAUGUCCAUUGUGCGUGUGCUAACUUUUUUCUCAUGCCGCACAGAUAGACUACUACUGUAUUUUUACAAUUUUUCUUUCUCCUCAUAUUUGGUCUCAAAUGCUGAUACUAUGUGGGAAUGCAUAAAGAUCAGAUCCCCAGAUCUCUCCCCUCUUGAUUUCUGUCUUCUGGGCACUAGAAGGCCAUGGUGUAUCAGGUGAAGAUAAGAGACAUAAAUCUUCUCAAGGAAUGAAUCACCAACACCAUUACAAGCAUAACUUGUGCCAAUGCAAGUUCAUCAGCUGUGGAAAGCACGUACAGUAUGUGUUUUUGAACCAAUGGUUGUCAUAUAGAGCACAUUACAUACAGUAAAUAAAAACAGUUGUCCAACAUGAAUGAGUAUUUUUCCCAUAUAUGGAAACUUAUGGCCCACCUUGUAUAUCCCACUCGGUGGCACAGUAGAAUCAUAGUAUCCAUCCUCCCGUAACAUCUGCUGCUGUAAAUAUUGUUUUCAUUGAAGUCAUGUUAAAAUGGAAUUGUUGCAAUACUGGAGAUCUUGACGUAGGCCAAAAAUGGUAUCUUAUUCAUUAGUUGUUUUGAAGUGAAAAGCAUAUUGUCCUCAUAGAAUUGAGAUUGUCAGAAAUCUGCCACUACAAAGUUUGAACUUUUGUCAUGCUACACGUCAGGCGAGAUCUUUGGUAUCCAUCGCUGCUCGUCAAAACAAAGGGUGAGUAGACUUCUUUUUUUUUUUCAGUUUUUUCCCCAAUAGCAGAUUUAUGGUUAUUGUAUUUGUACUUUAUUUAUCCCACAGCAGGGAUAUUCACUUGUUACAGCAGCAAGCAAGAUACGCAAGUAAAGAAUACAGUGUAAAGAAUACAUAUUGACUACAACAUGGUUCAGGUGGUGCAGGUGUUGUAGAGCCUGACAGCGGUCGGUAUGAAGGACCUGCGGAACCUCUCCUUCUUACACCGUGGGUGUAACAGUCUGCUGCUGAGAGCUGCUAAGGGAACCCACAGUGUCAUGUAGCGGGUGAGAGGUGUUGUCCAUGAUGGAUGUCAGCUUAGCCAACAUCCUUCUCUCCCUCACUUCCUCCACGGAGUCCAGAGGACUGUCCAGGACAGAGCUCGCUCUCCUGAUCAGCCUAUUGAUCCUGCUCCUGUCCCUGUCCGUGCUGCCCCCUCUCCGGCAGCCCACAGCAUAGAAGAUGGCUGAGGCCACCACAGAGUCAUAAAAGGUCCGUAAAAGAGUCCUGCACACACCAAAGGACCUCAGUCUCCUCAGCAGGUGGAGGCGACUCUGGCCCUUCUUGUAGAGGGCGUGGGUGUUGACGGACCAGUCCAGUCUGUUGUUAAGGAGAACACCCAGGAAUUUGUAGCUGUCUACCAACUCUUAUGUCCGCUACCUGGAUGUUCACCGGUGUGAAGUGAGAUGUUUUCCUCUGGAAGUUAAUGAUCAUCUCCUUUGUCUUGCUGGUGUUGAGUUGCAGCUGGUUAAGCUCACUCCAGCUGACAAAGUCCAGGAUGACCGUCCUGUAUUCCAGAUCAUUCCCCUCUGAAACACAACCAAUGGCUGUGUCAUCGGAGAACUUCUGGAUGUGACACUGUGUGGAGUUGUGUGUGAAGUCCGAGGUGUAGAGGGUGAAGAGGAAAGGGGAGAGCACCGUACCCCGAGGGGCACCUGUGCUGCAGAGUACCAUGUCAGACACACAGUGACGGAGCCUCACAUACUGUGGUCUGUUGGUGAGGUAGUCUAUAACCCAUGCAGUCAGGUGUUGGUCUACUCCCACACUCUCCAUCUUCACUCUGAGCAGUGACGGCUGGAUGGUGUUAAAGGCACUGGAGAAGUCAAAAAACAUGACCCUCACAGCGCUCCUGCUGUCCUCCAGGUGUAGCAGUGAUCUAUGCAGCAGGUAGAUCACUGCGUCGUCCACUCCGAUCCGAGGCCGGUAAGCAAACUGCAGGGGGUCCAGCUGAGUGCCCACCAUGGGUCGUAGGUGCUGCAGGAUAAUUCUCUCCAUGGUCUUCAUCAGGUGAGAGGUCAAGGCAACAGGCCUGAAGUGGUUAGGCUCCUUGGGACGCGGUGUCUUUGGUAUCGGGACCACACAGGAGGUCUUCCACAGGGCCGGGACUUUCUCCAGGCUCAGGCUGAGAUUGAACAAGUGCCUGAGAACUCCACAGAGCUGGUCAGCACAGUCCUUGAGGAUUCUAAGGCUGAUGCUGUCCGGUCCCGGGGCCUUCCUUGCCUUGAUCUUCUUCAGCUGACGUCUCA
Molecule: RNA transcript, 6523 nt
Organism: Dunckerocampus dactyliophorus (ringed pipefish)
Lineage: Eukaryota; Metazoa; Chordata; Actinopteri; Syngnathiformes; Syngnathidae
Gene: cpped1
Gene name: calcineurin-like phosphoesterase domain containing 1
Exons: 7
Source: RefSeq, a predicted model, not a curated record